CACUUCCAACCCAAUCCCGACCAAAUUAUAUAAAACAAACCCGCUUUUUUCUAUGUAAAUUCUACAAAAAAUACCAGAAGGUCGAAAUUUGAGCAAUUACGUCGAAAGUAUAGAGAAAACAAUCACCAACAAAGAUACAACAGAAUCCCAUAUGACCGAAUUACCAAGAUUUGCCGGGAAAAUUUUCCAAUAGGUUUCCAGCAAUCCAAACAGAAUUAUUACCGGAAAUAAUUAGACAAGGACCGGAUCUCGGAUUUCGGUUCACCGUAUAAUUUGCCG
Molecule: unclassified non-coding RNA, 279 nt
Filed under: Hevea brasiliensis (rubber tree)
Lineage: Eukaryota; Viridiplantae; Streptophyta; Magnoliopsida; Malpighiales; Euphorbiaceae
Source: RNAcentral